UACGUAGGGGGCAAGCGUUGUCCGGAAUCAUUGGGCGUAAAGCGCGUGUAGGCGGCUCGGUAAGUCUGCUGUGAAAGUCCAGGGCUCAACCCUGGGAUGCCGGUGGAUACUGUCGAGCUCGAGUCCGGAAGAGGCGAGUGGAAUUCCUGGUGUAGCGGUGAAAUGCGCAGAUAUCAGGAGGAACACCAAUAGCGAAGGCAGCUCGCUGGGACGUUACUGACACUGAGGCGCGAAAGCGUGGGGAGCGAACAGG
This 253-nucleotide ribosomal RNA is filed under the name uncultured bacterium. RNAcentral's name for it is "partial 16S ribosomal RNA". It matches the Rfam family "Bacterial small subunit ribosomal RNA", at positions 524 to 776 of the family's 1533-position model. The record is from RNAcentral.